UGGCACCAAAUGAAAAAGAUCUUGUUCACCAGCCAGACUCUAGGCUGAAAAGGGACAGACAGAACUGUAUGCAGGCCCUUGUUACCCAGUUUAAAAUCAGCAUCUCCAUAGUAACCAAAAUUAAUUCAGCACAAAUUUUGCUGAAUUGGGACCUGGGCCUAGAGGAGGGGGCGCAUCCGAUGGUCAGCUGCACAGAGGGGCCCAGUCCUCUUGCUGCAGGGUCACUGCACACUCUGAAAUGGAAAAAAGCUCCUCACAGCCCCAGUUCAUGAACACUGGGGAAUCCAGCGUCCUCCCCACAUUUGCAGGGAGGUGGGGACGUUUCCGGAUUCUUCUCAGCCCGCUCCAGCUUCUUGUUCUGGGAUCCUGUCCCUACACUGUUCCUCCGGAACUCGUAGCUCCCCUCCUACUGGGGGCUCCCUCCCCCUCCAGGCCCUUCGGCAGGCUGGGGAUGGUUCCGUCUGGUCCAGAAGACACGCUGGUCUGAGAGCCGUCGGCUGCUUCCCGGGGCAAGCGUGGAGGGGUCUCAGCUCUGCUCCGGUCUGAUCGGUCACCAAGGACGAGGCAGGCCUGCGUCUUCCUGCCUGAAGUGGGAGUAAAAUCACCGUCCAGCCAGGAGAGCUGUGGAGUCCUGGUCCAGCCGAGCAGGGAGCUCAUUUCUGACAGUGGAGCCAUCCCAAGAGCCGCGUGUGCCGUAACGACCUCCUAGACGAAGAGAAAACUAAAAACCAGGACCGAAAGCAGAGUCCUUCCCACGAGACCAGCGCAGCCUUACUUCCGUCCUGGAAAUGAACCAGCCGUGAGUGGACAUUGCCCAGUGCGGUGACUGGGUGGGGGUCUGCUGUGAGGAAGAAGGGUGCCCAGACCUGGGGAUGGGGAGAGCAAAGCCGACAGCCCCAGGCUCCCGAGGCCUCACCUGUGGCUGGGAUGGGCCUUGGCCCCCAGGAGAGCCGGGGCCAGUGUCCUGGGCUGCCCUGCUGGCCUCCUGACCCGGACCAUCCUCAAGAGAUAGAAAUAGUUUGUUUUUGUGUUUUUUAAAAAAUUUCACUGGCGUAUAGUUGAUUUACAAUGUUGUAUUAGUUUCUGCUGUACAGCAAAGUGACUCAGUUAUACAUAGAAUGCAUUCACUUUUACAGAGUUUUUCCCUUUUAGAUUAUCACAGAGUAUUGAGUCGAGUUCCCUGUGCUGCAGAGUAGGUCCUUAGUAGCUGUGGCUUUUGUGUGUAGUGGUGUGUAUAUGUCGGCCCUAACCUCC
RNAcentral lists this long non-coding RNA (1254 nucleotides) under Bos indicus x Bos taurus (hybrid cattle). Its description in RNAcentral is "lncRNA (ENSBIXG00005004372.1)". The record is from RNAcentral. Lineage: Eukaryota; Metazoa; Chordata; Mammalia; Artiodactyla; Bovidae.